UACGUAGGCAGCGAGCGUUGUUCGGAGUUACUGGGCGUAAAGAGUGCGUAGGCGGUUUCUAAGUUUGGUGUGAAAUCUUCCGGCUUAACUGGGAGGGUGCGCCGAAGACUGGAAGGCUUGAGUAUGGGAGAGGUAAGCGGAAUUCCUGGUGUAGCGGUGAAAUGCGUAGAUAUCAGGAGGAACACCUGCGGUGUAGACGGCUUACUGGACCAUAACUGACGCUGAGGCACGAAAGCGUGGGUAGCAAACAGG
RNAcentral lists this ribosomal RNA (252 nucleotides) under uncultured bacterium. RNAcentral's name for it is "partial 16S ribosomal RNA". It matches the Rfam family "Bacterial small subunit ribosomal RNA", at positions 524 to 776 of the family's 1533-position model. The record is from RNAcentral.